This 429-nucleotide ribosomal RNA is filed under the name bacterium. RNAcentral describes it as "partial 16S ribosomal RNA". It matches the Rfam family "Bacterial small subunit ribosomal RNA", at positions 355 to 776 of the family's 1533-position model. The record is from RNAcentral.
UAGGGAAUCUUCGGCAAUGGGGGCAACCCUGACCGAGCAACGCCGCGUGAGUGAAGAAGGUUUUCGGAUCGUAAAGCUCUGUUGUAAGAGAAGAACGUGUGUGAGAGUGGAAAGUUCACACAGUGACGGUAACUUACCAGAAAGGGACGGCUAACUACGUGCCAGCAGCCGCGGUAAUACGUAGGUCCCGAGCGUUGUCCGGAUUUAUUGGGCGUAAAGCGGGCGCAGGCGGUUUAAUAAGUCUGAAGUUAAAGGCAGUGGCUUAACCAUUGGUCGCUUUGGAAACUGUUAAACUUGAGUGCAGAAGGGGAGAGUGGAAUUCCAUGUGUAGCGGUGAAAUGCGUAGAUAUAUGGAGGAACACCGGUGGCGAAAGCGGCUCUCUGGUCUGUAACUGACGCUGAGGCUCGAAAGCGUGGGGAGCAAACAGG